AACGAACGCUGGCGGCAUGCCUAACACAUGCAAGUCGAACGAAGUCUUCGGACUUAGUGGCGCACGGGUGCGUAACGCGUGGGAAUCUGCCCUUGGGUGCGGAAUAACUUCUCGAAAGGGAUGCUAAUACCGCAUAAUGUCGUAAGACCAAAGAUUUAUCGCCCAAGGAUGAGCCCGCGUAAGAUUAGCUAGUUGGUGGGGUAAAAGCCUACCAAGGCGACGAUCUUUAGCUGGUCUGAGAGGAUGAUCAGCCACACUGGGACUGAGACACGGCCCAGACUCCUACGGGAGCAGCAGUGGGGAAUAUUGGACAAUGGGCGAAAGCCUGAUCCAGCAAUGCCGCGUGAGUGAUGAAGGCCCUAGGGUUGUAAAGCUCUUUUACCAGGGAUGAUAAUGACAGUACCGGAGAAUAAGACCCCGGCUAACUCCGUGCCAGCAGCCGCGG
Molecule: ribosomal RNA, 445 nt
Filed under: uncultured bacterium
Lineage: Bacteria
Description: bacterial SSU rRNA
Rfam family: Bacterial small subunit ribosomal RNA
Source: RNAcentral